AGCAACUUUGAUCGGUCCCUGUUUGUGUGUGUGUGUGUUUGGUUUUUUGUAAGGAUGGGUGGGAAGGGGGCUGAUGAAGAGGGUCUAUCUCUAUUAUUGGGCAGAUUUAAAAUCCUUUUCCGCGUACAAACCAUCCUCCCAUCUGGUUGCUCCGCAGCCUUCUCCUUCAGGCCAAAGAGGGAACAAGGUCCUGGGAAACAGGAAUGAGCAGAGCUGCAUGCAGUUCUCAGGACUGAGAUCAUGGGAAAGGGC
RNAcentral lists this long non-coding RNA (252 nucleotides) under Capra hircus (goat). Its description in RNAcentral is "lncRNA (ENSCHIG00000001632.1)". Lineage: Eukaryota; Metazoa; Chordata; Mammalia; Artiodactyla; Bovidae. The record is from RNAcentral.